AGGGAAUCUUCCACAAUGGACGAAAGUCUGAUGGAGCAACGCCGCGUGAGUGAUGAAGGUUUUCGGAUCGUAAAACUCUGUUGUAAGGGAAGAACCAGUACGUCAGGCAAUGGACGUACCUUGACGGUACCUUAUUAGAAAGCCACGGCUAACUACGUGCCAGCAGCCGCGGUAAUACGUAGGUGGCAAGCGUUGUCCGGAAUUAUUGGGCGUAAAGCGCGCGCAGGUGGUUUCUUAAGUCUGAUGUGAAAGCCCACGGCUUAACCGUGGAGGGUCAUUGGAAACUGGGAGACUUGAGUGCAGAAGAGGAAAGUGGAAUUCCAAGUGUAGCGGUGAAAUGCGUAGAGAUUUGGAGGAACACCAGUGGCGAAGGCGACUUUCUGGUCUGCAACUGACGCUGAGGCGCGAAAGCAUGGGGAGCAAACAGGA
This 429-nucleotide ribosomal RNA is filed under the name uncultured bacterium. RNAcentral's name for it is "bacterial SSU rRNA". It matches the Rfam family "Bacterial small subunit ribosomal RNA", at positions 356 to 777 of the family's 1533-position model. The record is from RNAcentral.